RNAcentral lists this long non-coding RNA (30279 nucleotides) under Nicotiana tabacum (common tobacco). RNAcentral's name for it is "long non-coding RNA (NTAB_LNC000223)". Lineage: Eukaryota; Viridiplantae; Streptophyta; Magnoliopsida; Solanales; Solanaceae. The record is from RNAcentral.
GCAAUACUUAGCUUUGAAAUGAAGAUAAAAUCACGAAAAACAGUAAUUCCAGGGGCAGAACUUCCGGGCAGAACAGUGAUGAAACCAAGGAACAAGAAAGUAAAAUUGUGUAAAGCUUUUAAUCGAUUAUAGCAUAAGUUUGUCAGGAAAGUCGUGUCCUUUACAAAGAUAACAGAGCUCACUAUUUAUAGCUACGCCUAGGGAACAAGGCCCUAGGAUCGUUCCCUUCUUUAAUGUCACUUAUGAGGGCCAUUGAUGAAGGUGUAGCGGCGAGCAUAAAUGACAAAUUCUCUGUAAUGACAGCGCAUUAAAUGCUGUGGAAUAAUGCUACCGGUCGGAGGGUAUUUGUUGCAUCUUUAUGAGUGUCAUUCUUUCCUGUGACAAACGGGAUAAUUGCCUUCGGUUCUAACUAUCCCCGCCUUAAGUUUCACGUGUCACUCUCUUUAGCGGCCACUUAGCAUAGCGUAUUUUACCGUAUACAAUGAUAUUGUUUAUCUUCCAUGCUAUGAAAAAAUUAACGAGAGACCUCCUUUUCUUUUUUGUUUUCAUUUUCUUCCGGUUCCAUUUCCGCUUCCCUUGUUUAAUUUCAUUAACUGCGAGAAAAUAAAAAUAUAAUAAAUCAAAAAAUCUUUCUACGAAAUCUAAAGCUGUCAAAUUUAAAAUAAAACUAGUGAACUUGUCACACUUCUCGUGGAUUUACCGAACAGUCAUCUUCUAAAUUAAAUACAAUAUGAGAAGUUAACAUGUUCUUUUACAACUAUAUUUUUUGAAAUAAGCUAUUAAAAAUGCAAUUUAUUUUGUUUUUGUGCAUUUCUAAAUAUGUAAAACAUAUUUCGAAAAAAAAAAUCAAUAAGCAAAUCUGCACUGACAAAUUUAAUGUGCUAACUAUUGUAUCCUUAAUUCCAACACUCCUUUAGACGUAGGGAGUAAAGGAAAAAGAAUGGUCAAAAGCUGUGGUUGACUAGUUGGAGCAAGACGUGUUUGUAGUCCUUUUUUUCAACGAUUAACUUAUUUAAAAGGUUCUUGCCACCGUAAAACUUAGAAUUCAAGGAAGUUUGAUUACUUAAUUGGAUACACUUUAAUUCAAGACAAUUAUCAUAAUAACAACAAUAAUAACUACGUCUCUGUCAAAACAAGUUGGGGUCGGCGAUAUGGAUCCUUAUUUCUUUCAUUAAGCUCAACUCAUAUCAUCAUCAUUAUCGAAAUAAAAUAAAAGUAUAAUUAAAAAAAUAGAUAUGUAAUAAUAAUAAUAAUAAUAAUAAUAAUAGCAGCAGCAGCAGUAAUAGAAGUUCUCUACCAAGUCUAAAACCUAUUUCUAACUUGUAGGUAUCACAUAUAUGAAUUUUCUUCUUCUAUUGUGUCCUAUCUUUAGCUAAGUCUGCACAUUCAUCUUAGCAUUCGCAUUUUUGCAACACUCAUCUUGUGGAUAUGUUGAAUUUAGCAACCCAACAUUCACUACCAUAUAACAUUGUCGGUCUUAUAGAUGUUCUAUAGAACUUACCUUUCACCUUGGUAGGCAUCCUAAAAGCACAUAACACCCCGGUAUCACUUCUCUAUUUCAACCAUCCAGUUCUAAUCUUAUGAGUAACAUUUUCAUCUAUCUUUCCAUUAUCUUAAAACAACGAGCCUGGAUAUAUAAAUCAUUUGCAUUUUGGCACCUAAUUCCAUCUAAUCUCACCUUAACUUCGCUCUUCUCAUGCUGACUAAACUUGCAAUACAUAUAUACAGCCUUACUUUUACUUAUCUUAACACCCUUACUCUCUAAAAUGCUUCUUCAUAACUCAAGCUUUUGGUUGACACCCUCGCUAGUUUCAUCAAUUUGCACAAUAUCAUUAGCAAAUAGCAUACAUUACCUCUUCUUGUAUUGUAUUGCUCAUCCAAAAUAAGGGUAAAUUAGUAGGGACUCCAUUUAGAACCCUAGUAUAAACCCACUGAUGGGAAACUCCUUUGUAUCUCCGCUACUGUUUUCACACUAGCAAUAGCUCCUUCAUGAGCUUUUUCACACUAGCAAUAGCUCCUUCAUGAGCUUUAUGACAUUUAUAUAUUUAUUAUGAAUUCAUUUCUUCUCCAUCACCUACCAAAGGACCUUUCAUGAUACUCUAUCAUAUUCUUUUUCUAGCUUAAUAAAAUUCAUGUAUAGAAAUUUUUCCUUCCCCGAUAAAUUUUCAUUGAACUUCUUAGCAAGAAUAUAAUCUCUAUUGUAGAUCUACUAAACAUAAAUGCAAAAUGAUUCUCUAUCACUCUUGUCGUGUUCCUAAGUAUAAUUUAUUACUCUCUCGCAGAGUUUCAUCGUAUGACUCAUGAGUUUAAUACCACGAUAGUUCGCACAACUUGAAUAUCUCCUUUAUUCUUAUACAUUGGAAUCAAGGUACUCUUCUUCAAUUCUUCAGGCAUCCUACCACUUCUUAGUAUGGCAUUAAAUAGCUUAGUGAGACAUACUACUCCAACCUCCCCAAGACAGUUCCAGACCUCUAUAGGGAUACAAUCUAGACUAAAAGCUUUUCUAAUCUUCAUAUUUCCCAUGGUAUCCUUUACCUCUAUCGUCCUAAUUCUACUGGUGUAGCUAAAGUUUUUAUCAUAAACAAAUUUUUAGAGGCCUAAAAUGCUACCCUCUCGGUUCAAGUUGAACAAUUGAUCAAAAUAUCCUCUCCAUCUCUCCUUGAUCUCGUUAUCUCCUUUCGACACUUGUUGACAAUCGUCUUGAAUAUACUUCACCUGGUUUAAAUCCUUACCUCUCUUCUCUCUUUGUCGUGCUAGUUGAAACACUUCUUUUUCCCUGCACUUGUUCCUAGCUUUUGGUGCAAGAUAUCUAGAACUUCCCUUGGAGCUUUACUCAUAGCCUUCUUAGCUUCCUUCUUAGCUCUUUCAAUCUCUUGUAUUCUUUAAAGGCUUCUUCGUCUUUUGCUUUUGACAACUUCCUAUAAUACUCUCUUUUGGCUUUCAAUCCAAGACAUUUAUGGUAACAAAUAUAUGUAUUACUAAAAAUGGUUUGUAUAUGAGUCAUUUAGCUUACUUGAACUUUGUACUAAAGAUAUAUAUCUGGUUUUCUAGAUUCUAGGUGUAUAAGAUUCUUUAUUAAAAAAAUAUAAUGUUAGAAUAUUCAAAUAACUGAUACACUUUAAGUCAUUAUCAGUGACAUAGAUUGUUACCUUAAAGAAGAGAAGCUGCCAAACACGCAAGCACAUGGUAGCCAAGUGUGAACGAGAAAGCCUUGUCUUAUUCUAUUAAUUAACAAGAAUAUAUAUACAAGUCAAAUAGUAAAUCCUUGUCCUAAAAAAUAUGAAAAACUAGUCCUAACAAAUGUGAAAAGAAAAACUGUCCUAACAAAUAUGGAAAAUAAAAACUGAAAACUCUCCUAACAAAUAUGAAAAAGAAAAACUCUCCUAGUCCUAAACAUACAAUAUAUUUACUAUCAAUAUGUAUACCUAAAUACACACGCUUUAAUACCCUCUCUCAAGUUGGCACAUGCGGAUUACAAAUGCCCAACUUGCAAGAGAGAAACAUACCGAGAUUUUUUGAAUGCCUUCAUAAAAAUAUCUGCCAGCUCAUGUGAAGACACAAAGCUAGUACGAAUAUUCUUACUGUAAAUCUUGUCACACAUAAAAUGACAGUCCACUUCAAUAUAUUUCGCUCUUUUAUGAAAGAAUGGAUUCUUUGCUAUGUGCAAUACUGCUUGACUGUCACAAUAAAGAUGAAUAGGGGAAGUGCAAGUCACUCCCAAACUAGAUAAAAUUUCCUUCAACCAUUUCACCUCACAGAUUGUCAUUACUAUAGAAUAAUAUUCAGCCUCUGCAGAUGAUUGAGAGGUAUGUUUCUUCUUAGUCUUCCAAGAUAUAGGUGAGUCACCAAAGAUAAACCAGCCUAUGAGCGAGCAUCGAGUCAAGGUACAACCAGCCCAAUUGGAGUCACACCAUCCAUAGAGACGUAGAUCACAUUUGCUUCUCAACAAAAUACCUUGUCCCGGAUUCCCUUUCAAGUACCAAACAACCCGUAAAAUUGCAUCCUAAUGCUCCUCUUUUGGUUGCUGCAUGAACUGAGAAAAUGUAUGAACAGUAUAAGACAGUUCCGUCCGAGUAAAGCACAGAUAAAUAAGUUGACCUAUCAAACGACGAUAGCACUUAGGGUCAUCAAACUCCCGUCUACCCACUAAUGCAGCCAAUGAUUUUGUUCCAACUACAUUCCCACAUGUUUAGAACCUAAUAACCCAACCUCUGAGAUAAUAUUCAAGGUAUAUUUUUGUUGGCUCAAGAAAAUGCCUUUUGAUUUUCUGGAGACUUCUACUCCCAAAACAUAUUUCAAGCUACCUAAAUCCUUCAUGUAAAAGCAUUUGCCAAGAUAUAUUUUGAACUCACUGAUAGCCUUGGGCUCACUGCCAGAUAUAAUCAGAUCAUCAAUAUACACAAGAACAUUACUCUAACUUCACCCUUUUUCAUAGUAAAGAGAGAAUAAUUAGAGUAUGAAUGCUUGAACCCAUAGUCCUCCAAGGCAGUCGACAACUUAGCAAACUAACACCUCGGUGCUUGUUUUAACACAUAAAUGGAUUUCCUAAGUCUACACACUUUUCUUGACUUGAAACUCCAAACCUAGGAGGCAAUUUCAUGUACACCUCCUCUUGAAUAUCCCAUGCAGGAAAGCAUUAUGUACAUAUAUUUGAUGUAACUCUCAAUUCUUUGACACAACUAUAGCCAAAAAUACACCGACAGUCACCAUCUUUGCCACUGGGUAAAUAUUUCAUUAUGGUCGAUCCCCUCUACUUAAUGAUUCUUGAGAAUAACUAGUCGGGUCUUGUGUCGCUCAAUUGUUCCAUCAGAGUUGUACUUUACCUUGUAAAUUCACCUGCAACUGAGAGCCUUUUUGUUAGGAGGUAAAUCCUCUAUUACCCAUAUUCCAUUAUUCUCAAGUUCCUGUAUUUCUAAUUUCAUUGCUUCUCUCAACUUUCCAUCUUUCACAACCUCAAAAAAAUGAGCUGGUUCAUGUGCUGCAGUGAUUGCUGCAAGGAAAGCCCUUUGUUGUACAGAGAACUUAUUACAAUUCACUUAUUGUGUUAAAGGAAAAUGCAUACUUGAGUGACGUCGUGAAGUGUAUGGAGGACAAGAUGGACUCAAUUUCUGGACAACAUUAGUAAUAUAAUCACACAAUCGGACCGAUGUAUGUUUCUUGCAUUGUACGCAUCACAACUUGUAACGACCCAGCCGGUCAUUUUGAGCAUUUGUAUUUUGUUCAGCUGUUUGAAUUCUGAGUAGCUCCAUGUGAUGUAUUAUGACUUGUGUGAAUCGUCGAUUUUGGUUUUCAGGCGAUUCAGGAUUGAUUUGGAAGAAUAAUUCUCAUUUUAGAAGCUUUAUGUUUGAAAAAUUAACCAAGUGUGACUUUUGAGUAUUUGGUCUCGGAUCGGAGUUUUGAUAGUUCUGUUAGGUCCGGAUGGUGAUUUUGGACUUGGUUUCAUACCUAGAUUGCAUUUGGAUAUUUCAAGAAGGUUUCGGUACUAUAUGGCGAAAGUUGGCAAUUUGAAGGUUUGGGAUGUUCAUAAGUUUGACUGAGAGUUGACCUCGAUGAUAUCGGGUUCGGAUUGUGGUUCUAGAAAUUGAAAUAGCUUUUUUAAGUCAUUUGGGACUUGUGCGCAAAAUUUGAAGUCAUUCCGAGUUGAUUUGAUGAGGUUCGACACGCGUUUUGGAAGUUGAAAUUUCAAAAGUUCUUCAAGUUUGAUUUGAGAUGCGAUUCAUCGUUUAGAUAUUAUUAUGUAUAAUUUGAGGCCUCGAGUAGGUCCGUGUUAUGUUUGGGACUUGUUGGUAUGUUCGGACGGAGUCCCGAGGGGCCCGGGUGAGUUUCGAAGGUGGUUCGGUCAUUUGGGAUCAUGUUUGUUGAUGCUGGUUUUGGCUGGUUUUGAUGUGACCGCACCUGCGGAUACUUGGGCGCAGUUGCAGAGCCGCAAAUGCGGUCACAUGCUCGCAGAAGUGAUAUAAGGAUGAGCUUGGGAACUUCACUGAUGCGGAAAAAUAGGGCGCAUAUGCAAUUGCGCAGAAGGGAUUGAUGGUACCCAGAAGCGAGGUGAAGUGCAGAAGCGGGGUAUGGACGUGCACCUGCAAGGGCGCAAAAGCGGACAACUUUUCACAGGUGCGAUAAGUCAUCUAGUAAGUGGAGUCCGCAAAAGCGUGGUUUUUUUUUUGCAAAAGCGACGGCGCAGAAGCGGUCGAUAUUUUGCAGAUGCGGAAAUGACAGGCAGAUUGUAUUUAUAUAUAAGGGAUGGUUCAUUUUAUCAUAUUUUGGGAUUAAGAGCUCGGUUUUGGGCGAUUUUGGAUAGAAUUUUCACCACAUGCAUUGGGGUAAGUAUUUUUGACUCGGCAUUGAUUAUAUUUCAUGAUUCUAUCGUCGAUUUUGGCAUUUGGAUUAUGAAUUAUAAAGAGAAAUUGGGGGUUUGUCUAAACAUUCCUAAAGUGAAUUUUUGAGUUUUGAACAUCGAUUCAGAGUCGGAUUUGAGUGAAUUUAGUAUGGUUGAACUAGUAAUCGAAUGGUUUGUCGAAAUUUGUGAGUUGUCAGAGUUUGUGAGUUUUAUCGGGUUCCGAGGAGCGAGCCCUGGUUUGACUUUUUGGUUGACUUUGAGUAAUUGAGUAAAGAGUCGACCUUUAUCGUUUGGGUUUGUUUCCUAUGGCAUUAUUUGAUGAUUUUGAGUUUUUUUUGGCUAGUUUUGAGUCGUUUGGAGGUUGAUUUGCACGGGAUGGCAUUUCUAGAGUGUUGUUUGGCUUGGUUGGUAUUGGAUUUGGCUUGUUCGAGGUAAGUAAUAUAUCUAAACUUGAAUUUGAGGGUAUUUAACCCUGGGAAAUAUGUUAUAUGAGAUAUAUUGGGGUAACGCACAUGCUAGGUGACAGGUGUGUGGGUGUGCACCGGAGUAAUCAUUAUCAGAGUUGCCUUUUAGAUAAUUACCGAAAUUAUUUUGCUAUCAUACCUUGUUAUAUCUGUGUUUUCCCUACCUGUUUGAUUAUUUGAGUUGUGAUUCAUCUUAGAAAUUAUGUUUAGGCUAUGCGCUUAUUUGGUUUAGAUCUAAUUAGGUUGUUCUGUUAUUUUAAGCUAUCUGAAUUAACUUUGGUUAUACACUUAGUCAUGAUUCUUCAUUUUCAUAUCAUAUCGCAGUCUCUGCUCAUUAUUCGAUAUUACAUCACACAUUGUUGUUGUUUUCCAUAUGUGGUACUGUUUAGACUGAGUGAUAUGAGAUUGUGAGAUCUUGAGACUUGAGAGGUUGAUGACUUAGAUGGGCCUUAGAGCCGUGUUGAGAGUGUUAUUUGGAUCGGGAUGCACGCCGCAAUAUGCCUUAUUAGCUUAUUGUUAUUAUCUGGAUCGGGUUGCACGCUACAGCAGGCCAUAUUGGUUUUAUUAUUAUUAUAUGGAUCGGGUUGCACGCCGCAACAUGCCUUAUUGACUUUAUUAUUAUUGUGGAUCGGGCUGCACUCUACAGUAGAAAUAUUGGUUUUUGAUUUACGCUUGGGCAGGAUCCGUCCCUCCGGAGUCUGACAUACCAGUAGUGAGCACAGGCACGAUGAUAUAUACACACGUGCUUUGGUGAGGGGCUUAUAAGCCAGGCACUCGUACAGUGUUGAGUGAUUUUGGGUGUGUGUAACGAAGUGGGAAAUUGGAAACAGACAGCUGGAGUAUGUUGAAGGUGAGAGUACCUGGUGAUACCAUUGUGAAAUCAUUCAUUUGACAUGCAUACUUGGCAUGUAGGCAUAGAGAUGCAUUUUUCUUAUGCUAGACGGUAUAUGAUAAUUGAUGACUUGACAUGUAUAUUAACAUGUAGACAUAGAGAUGUAUUUUACUUACACUAAUUGGUAAAAGAAAAAAUUCUUAUCUGGUGUUGUGAAUUGUGAAUACAGUUCUUUUGAUAAACUCAUGUUUAGUUAAUUUUCAGUUGUAAUAUCUCGACUUGACUGUUAUACCUGGAAAACAUGUCUACUUUUUUGUAACUGUGAACGAGCUGAGCAUGAUAUCUUUUGAGUCGUUACUUUUACUGCCUCCAUUAUAUUAUUAUGAGCUGAUAUUGGCUAUUGGUGUUGGACACUGACCUUCUUCCGAGCUCGUCACUGCUUUCAACCAAAGGUUAGGUUUGUUACUUAUUGAGUACAUGGGGUCGGUUGUACUCAUACUACACUUCUGCACCUUGCGUACAAACGUUGGAGCUGACAUUGCUGUGUAUGGCAGGAGCUAGCAUUGAAGAUGUACCUACGUUACGGUUAUAGCUGCCUCUUGCUGUUUAUAACUUUAGAUUUGUAAAUAUGUUUAUGUAUAUUUCGAACAGAUAAAUAUAUUUAUUUCGUACCAGCUUUGUAUAUUCUAAGUCUUAGAAGCUCAUGACUUGUACUACCAAUCCUUGGAAUUUUGUAUAGAAAGUUCAAAUAUUUUAUUUAUUGACUCUUAUUAUCCUAAUUGAGUUGUGUUGACUAUCAUUUGGCUUACCUAGCGGGUUGGUUUAGGUACCAUCACGACUAGCUGGAUUUUGGGUCGUGACAAGUUGGUAUCAGAGCCCUAGGUUCAUAGGUUCUACGAGUCAUGAGCAAAUGUUUAGUAGAGUCUUGUGGAUCUUUAUGAUGACGUUCAUACCUAUCUUCGAGAGGCUACAGGGCAUCUAGCAUGAAUUUUCCAUCUUUCUUUACUUAUCGUACGGCAUUGAUUCAUCUUGAAGCGUAUCUCUUUGAAUUCCUUCCACUCACUCGUAUGUUAUAUGAGCGCUCGGUAUCAACUGUUCACCAGCGGCUUGUGAUUCCAUGGAUGGGGCGAAAGAUGUGUUUUUUGUGUUCUGGUGAUGGGUUAGUCUGGAAGACUUAAGGCCAGGUUUGGACUGCAGCUUGGGCUCGGUAGUUUCAGUUGUGUAAGCAUGCACCUUUGGACUUAUAUGUUCGGUAGUGUCCCUGGGAGUGGGACUUAUGGCUUGGUGAGUGGUUGAAUGGCUAUAUGAUGAGUAUGAUGUGACUAUGGGAUGUGUUUAGAUAGCUUAGGUGUGGUGAGAAGAGUUUUCUUGGGAUGUGGAAAAGACUAUUGGGUGCUUGAUUCCUCUCUUAUAAUGAAUUUCGAAUGUUGGAAAUUAGGUUCCAAGUCUUAUGGACUAAGGUUGAAGGAAGAUUCUUCAGUUAUGUUGAGUUGACGGACUUAUAUGGAUUAGGGUGACGUGGCAUCACCCCAGGGUGUGUGCAUGGUAGGUUACAUAGUGAUUUGAUGGCUUUGGAAUGACUCUUGGCACGUUCGAGGACGAACGUAUGUUUAAGUGGGGGAGAAUGUAACGACCCAAUCGAUCAUUUUGAGUAUUUGCAUUCUUUUCAGCUAUUUGAAGUUUUGAGUUAGCUCCAUGUGAUGUAUUAUGACUUGUGUGAAUCGUCGAUUUUGAUUUUCAGGUGACUCAGGAUUGAUUUAGAAGAAUGAUUCUCAUUUUAGAAGCUUUAAGUUUGAAAAGUUGACCAAGUGUGACUUUUAUGCAUUUGGCCUCGGAUCGAAGUUUUGAUGGUUCCGUUAGGUCUGGAUGGUGAUUUUGGACUUGGGCGUAUGCCCAGAUUUGCAUUUGGAUGUUUCAAGGAAGUUUCGGCACCAUUUGGCGAAAGUUGACAAUCUGAAGGUUUUGGAUAUUCAUAAGUUUGAUCGGGUGUUGGCCUCGAUGAUAUCAAGUUCAGAUUGUGGUUCCAAGAAUUGUAAUAGCUUUGUUAUAUCAUUUGGGACUUGUGCGCAAAAUUUGAAGUCAUUUUGAGUUGAUUUGAUGAGGUUCAGCACGAGUUUUGGAAAUUGGAAGUUUAAAAGUUCUUCAACUUUGAUUUGAGGUGCGAUUCAUCGUUUUGACAUUAUUAUGUGUAAUUUGAAGCCUCGAGUAGGUCCAUGUUAUGUUUUGGGACUUGUUGGUAUAUUCAGACGGGGUCCCGAGGGUCUCGAUUGAGUUUCGGAGGUGGUUCGGAUCAUUUGGGAUCAUGUUUGUUGAUGCCGGUUUUGGCUGGGUUCUGAUGUGACCGCACAUGCAGAGAUUUGGAUGGAGGUGCAGAGUCACAAAUGCGGUCACGUGGUCGUAGAAGUGAUAUAGGAAUGAGCUUGGGAACUUCGCAGAUGCGGAAAAACAGGGCGCAUUUGUAGUUGCGCAGAAGCGAUUGAUGGUACGCAGAAUCGAGGUGAAGCGCAGAAGCGGAGUAUGGACGCGCACCUGCGAGGGUGUAGAGGCGGGAAACUUUCCGCAUAUGCAAUAAGUUGGCUAGUAAGUGGAGUCUGCAAAAGCAUAGUCUGGUCGCAAAAGCGGCCAAUAUUUCGCAGAUGCGAAAAUGCUGGGCAGAUUGUAUAUAUAUUCGAGGGUUGGUUCAUUUUAUCACAUUUUGGGUUAGAGCUCGGUUUUGGGCGAUUUCGGGGAGGAUAUUCACCACAUGGAUUGAGGUAAGUAAUUUUGACUUGGCUUUUAUUAUAUUCCAUGAUUCUAUCUUUGAUUUUGACAUUUGGAUUAUGAAUUUUAAAGAGAAAUUGUGGGGGUUUUGCCAAGCCAUUCCUAAAGUGACUUUUUGAGUUUUGAACAUUGAUUGGGAGUCGGAUUUGACUGAAAUUAGUAUGGUUAGACUUGUAAUCGAAUGGGUUAUUGGAAUUUGCAAUUUUAUCAGGUUUCGAGGUGCGGGUCUGGGUUUAACUUUUUGGUUGACUUUGAGUAAUUGAGUAAAGAUUCGACCUUUAUCAUUUGAGUUUGUUUCCUGUGGCAUUAUUUGAUGAUUUCAAGUUGCUUUUGGCUAGUUUUGAGUCGUUCGGAGGUUGAUUUGCGCGGGAUAGCAUUUCUAGAGUGUUGUUUGGCUUGCUCGGUAUUGGAUUUGGCUUGUUCGAGGUAAGUAACAUAUCUAAACUUGAAUUUGAAGGUAUUUAACCCUAGGAACUAUGUUAUAUGAGAUGUAUUGGGGUGACGGGCGUGUGGGCAUGCACCGGAGUAAUCAUGAUCCGAGUUGUCUUUUAGACUAUUACCGGACUUGUUUUUCUAUCAUACCUUAUUAUAUCUGUGUUUUCCCUACCUGUUUGAUUAUCUUAGCUGUGAUUCAUGUUAGAAAUCAUGUUUAGGCUAUGUGCUUAUGUAGUUGAAACCUAAUGAGGCUAUUUCUGUUGUUUUGAGAUAUCUGAAUUAACUGUGGUUAUACACUAAGUCAUAAUUCUUCAUUUGUAUAUCAUAUCUCAGUCUCUGUUCAUUAUUAGAUGUUACAUCACACGUUGUUGUUGUUGUCCAUAUGUGGUAUUGUUUGGGCUGAGUGAUAUGAGAUUGUGAGACCUUGAGACUUGAGAGGUUGAUGACUGAGAUGGGCCUUAGAGCCGUAUUGAGAAUGUUAUUUGGAUCGGGCUGCAUGCCGCAGCAGGCCAUAUUGGCUUUAUUAUUAUUACAUGGAUCGGGUUGCACGCCCCAACAUACCUUAUUGGCUUUAUUAUUAGUGUGGAUCGGGCUGCACGUUGCAGCAGGCCAUAUUGGCUUUUGAUUAGCGCUUGGGCAGGAUCCACCCCUUCAGAGUCUGAUAUAACAGCAGUAAGCGUAGGCAAGCUGAUACAUAUACACAUGCUUUGGUGAAGGGCUUACGAGCCAGGCACUCGUACAGUGCUGAGUGAUUUUGUGUGUGUGUGAUGAAGUGGGCAAUUAGAAACAGACAACUAGAGUAUGUUGAGAGUGAGUACCUGGUGAUACCAUUGUGAAAUCAUUCAUUUGACAUGCAUACUUGGCAUGUAGGCAUAGAGAUGCAUUUUUCUAAUGCUGGACGGUAUAUGAUAAUUGAUGACUUGACAUGUAUAUUGACAUGUAGGCAUAGAGAUGUAUUUUCCUCGUGCUAAUUGGUAAACGAAAAUCCUUAUAUGGUGUUAUGAAUUGGGAAUACAGUUAUUUUGAUAAACUCAUAUUUAGUUGAUUUUCAGUUGUAAUAUCUAGACUUGACUGUUAUACUUGGAAAGCAUUUCUACUUUUGUGUAACUGUGAACGAGCUGAGCAUGAUAUCUUUUGAGUCGUUACUUUUACUGCCUCCAUUAUAUUAUUAUGAGUUGAUAUUGGCUAUUGGUGUUGUACACUGACCUUCUUCCGAGCUCAUCACUGCUUUCAACCUAUGGUUAUGUUUGUUACUUAUUGAGUACAUGGGGUCGGUUGUACUCAUACUACACUUCUGCACCUUGCGUGCAGAUUUUGGAGCUGACAUUGUUGUGUAUGGUAGGAGUUGGCAUUGAAGAUGUACCUACGUUUCGUUUAUAGCUGUCUCUUGUUCUUGGUAACUUUAGAUUUGUAAAUAUGUUUAUGUAUAUUUUGAACAGAUAAUGUAUUCGUACCAGCUUCGUAAAUUCUAAGUCUUAAAAGCUCAUGGCUUGUAUUACCAAUCCUUGAGAUUAUGUAUAGAAAGUUCAAAUAUUUUAUUUAUUGACUCUUGUUAUCCUAAUUGAGCUGUGAUGACUAUCAAUUGGCUUACCUAGCAGGUUGGGUUAGGUAACAUCACGACUAGCUGGAUUUUGGGUCUUGACAAAACUGUUCCUCCUCUAUUAUUUCAUCUUUCUCAGUUUCGGCCCCUACCUCCUAGUGAAUAUUUUCCUCUAUCUCAACUUCGUGGUGAUCCUCCACGUCAAGCUCGUCUUCACGAGCUUGGACCGAUUCUUUACCCCCUCGCUUCAAACUCCUCAUCCUCUCCUAGUUCCUCUAUAUGCAUUUCUUUAUUUUCGUCAGUCUCAUAGAAAUCAAUGCUCGUGAAACAAGAUAUUCUUUCUUAUCUAAAUCAUACACAUUCCAACCCUUCUUUCAAUAGGAAUAUCCCAUGAAGACACACUUAUGGCUUCGACUUGAAAAUUUAUCACCUUCUUCCCUAAGCUUCGAGAUAACAUAUCGAUCGAAGAUGUCUAUACUCAGGCAGUCAACCAUAUAAUAAGUCAUAAAGUGUUUUUCCAUACAAGAUUGAAGAUGGAGUUUGAUUAAUCAAGUGACAAGCCGUCAAACACAUUCCCCCAAAAAAUCAAUCAGUAAGUUACCUUGAAAGUGCAAGGCUCGGGCUACAUUCAAGAUAUGGCGAUGCUUUCUUUGCACUUUUCCAUUCUAUUGGGGUGUUCCUGUACAUGAAGUUUGAAAAACAAUCUCACAUUUCAGAAAAUAAUUACUAAAGCAUACAAACUAUGUUCCAUUAUUGCUCCUGAAGGUUUUAACUCACUUAUUGAAUUGUCUGUCUAUCAUAGCAAAGAAAUCUUCACAGUUUACACUACUUUUUUCUUAUCAAUCAAUACAAAAAUCCACAUUCUUAUCAAUCAAUACAAAAAUCCACACAGCACGCGGGUAAUCAUAUACGAUAGUCAAAAAUAUGAUGCACCACAAGACGAAGUUGUUCGAUAAGGUCCCCAGAAAUCACAAUGAAUCAACUUAAAGAUGCUAGAAGCUCUACUAUUACUCAAAAUGAAAUUUGUCUCCUGUUUGUUUAGCCCAAUGACAUACAUUGCAACUUUUAUUUAAAACAUCACUACUUUUUCUAAAAUCUACAACAAGAAUUAAUUUGGUCACUUGUAGAGAGGAUGACCCAAACGUCUUUGCCAAAGAUACAGCAAGCCCACAACACCAACCUUUAGGGCACAUACCCUCUGUUUGUUUCUGAAAUAACAGAGUCCAUCUUUCCGCUCACCCGCUCCAAUCAACAUCCUCGAGAUGUGGUCCUGCAUAAUACAUAAAAGUUUAGUGAAAAUCAUCAAAUAAUUUGAGUAAUCGAUUAAUUGAGAUAUAGAAAUCAAGUUGCAAGUUAAGACAGGAACAUAAAAAAUUAUUUUUAAGACCAAAUUUCCUUCAAGUUUCGUUGAACCUGUGAUGGUCGCUAUUGCAUUACUCCCAUCAGGCAAACUAACAGGCCAUCGCUUAAUCUUUUGCAAAUUAUGCAAUAAUUUUAAACAUCCUAUCAUAUGAUUCGCCGCUCCUGUAUCAAGGAUCCAAGAUACAUAAUUUUGCUUUCCGGUUAUCUUCUCAUUCGAACUUAUUUAUUGGUUAUUCAACAUAGAAAUCAACAUUUGUCACCGCUCAUUUCUCAACCCCGGAGGCCCAGCCUUUACUUCCCCCAUCACAGCUGUGAAGAUGCCACCUCUCAUAGUCUGUACAACAUUCGCGUGAUACGCAGCGCCAUGUCUGCGGCCUCUAUUCAUUCCACCCCUAUAAUGUUGUUAUUUUCCUCUACUGCGCCCACUUGAUUUACCAUCACCGUGAGGUCUGUCUCCCCACCAUUCUGGAUACCCAACAGCUGGAAGCAACUUUCUCAUGUCCAAUUCUCUCUUAGUAGGAGCAAGUUUUUUUGUCACUCACUUCAUUUCGACCUCUAUCGGGGAUGUUACUUGUACAGUAGAGGCUAUAACGUCACCAUCCCCAUCUGCCCCUCAAGCCAUCGUCUUCACAAGUUCUUGUACCAACUUCUCAUAAACUCAAUUCAAAGUUGGCAACAGAUCUUGAGCGAGCAAGUUCGACCUCACUGUUCCAUAUAGUGUUUCAUCUAACCCCAUAAGAAAAAGGUGCAUCUUCUCCUCUUCCUUUUUCUUUUCCAAGGUUGUACCAAGCUCGCAUGUGCACUUACCACAUGUGCAAGUUGGUAUUUGAUCAAAAUUAGCAAGUUUUUCCCAGAGUUUUGUUAAUUUUUCGUAGUAAUUAACUAUGGUGAUGCCCUUUUAUUUGAACUCCGCAAGUUUGGCCUUCAACUGGUGUAUUCUUGUACCAUUAGAGAUCGAGAAAUGUUCUUUAAUACUAGUCCAUAAAUCUUCAGCAACUUUCAUGUGUAGUAUAGACGAACACAAAGUAGGCUCAAUAGCAUUCCGAGUCUAUGAAACCAACAACGAGUUAAUGCUGCACCAUUCUUCAAGAUCUAGAGACUUCUCAUCUGGUCUCCUGAUUAUUCCGUCAAUAAGUCUGAACUUCUUCCUCCCCCUUAAGGCGGUCCUCAUGGACCGUGCCCUUUUAUCAUAGUUUUCUCCUUUCAAAGCCACAUGUGCUAUCAAAUCCUAGGAUUGUCAUUAAAUAUUAUGUAGUACGGAAAGAUGGCCUUUUGUUUGUUUCUUUCAUCACCACCACCACUAUUAGAGGUGACGUGUUUACCACUGUCCCCUAUCAUUGGUUUGUCACUACGAGAUUCUUAUGGUUUGGCUCGAUCUUGGCUCUAAUACAAAGCCAAACACACAAGAACACGGUGGCCAAGUGUGGAAGAAAGGCUUGCCUUCUUCUAUUGAUUAACAAGAAUAUAUAUACAAGUCAAGUAGUAAACCCUAGUCCUAACAAAUAUGGAAAACUAGUCCUAACAAAUAUGAAAAAGAAAAACUCGCCUAACAAAUAUGGAAAAGGAAAACGGAAAACCCUCCUAAAAAAUUUGGAAAAGGAAAACUCUCCUAGUCAUAAACAUACAAUAUAUUUACUAUCCAUAUGUACAUCCAAAUACACACGCCUUAAUAGAAGAUACAAAAAAGAUAAAGACUAAAACUUGUAAAAGAAAUACAUGGAGCAGUAGACUUGCAGUGCAGUAUGAUUUGCUCAUUUAACUAAAAAGAUAUGAAGAAAAAGCAAGUUUGUUAAGGUAGACAAGUGUAACGACCCGAUCCGUCGUUUCGAGCAUUUGCAUUCAGUUCGGUGAUUUGAGGUCAUGAGUAGCUUCAUAUGGUGUAUUAUAACUUGCGUGUAUGGAUGGUUUUGGUAUUCGAAUUAUUCGGAAUUAAUUUGGAAGAAUGAUUUUUAAAUAGGAAGCUUUAAGUUGGAAGAGUUGAUCAAGUUUGUCUUUUGUGUAUUUGACAUUAGAUCAGAUUUUUUAUAGUUAUGUUAGGUCCGGAUGGUGAUUUUGAACUUGGACGUAUGCCUGGAUUUGAUAUUUGGAUAUUGCUACAAGGUUUUGGCACUAUUUGGCGAAAGUUGAUAAUUUAAAGGUUUGGAAUAUUCAUAAGUUUGACCGAGAGUUGACUUUGAUGAUAUCAGGUUUGGAUUUUGUUCCGGGAGUUGUAAUUGGUGUGUUAUGUCAUUUGGAACUCGUGUGUAAAAUUUGAGGUUACUCCGAGUUGACUUGAUAUGGUUCGACACGAGUUUUGGAAGUUGAAAGUUUAAAAGUUCAUUAAGUUUCAUUUGAGAUACGAUUUGUAGUUUUGAUGCUAUUAUGUGUGAUUUGAGGACGCGAGUAGGUUCGUGUUGUGUUUUUAGGACUUGUUGCUAUGUUCGGACGGGGUCUCGGGGGCCUCAGAUGUGUUUCGGAUUCAUUUCGGAUUCAUUUUGGGCUAUGUUUCCUUGCUGAAGAAUUUGUAGGUUCUGGUGUUUCCGCAUCUGCGGAGGGUUGGCCGCAGAUGCGGGAUCAUGGUCGCAGAAGCAAAGAAUGAUGGAGGAUGGGAUGUCCGCAGGCGCGGAAUGUUGGGCGCAUCUGCGUAACCACAGAAGCGAUGGACUAGGCACAGAAGCGAGAAGCUAGAUGUGGGCUAAGCGCAGAAGCGCGAUGUGCCACGCACCUGCGAUGUCGCAGAAGCUGAAGUGUUUCUACAUGUGUAUGAGGUCGGGGCUUCAGUGUUGUCCGCAGAAUCGGAGUUUUUAUCGCAGAAGCGGCUAUUGGACCGCACAUGCGAGGGUGCCUGGGUAGGUUCUAUAUAUUCAAGGGUUGAGUUAUUUUAUUCAUAUUUUGAGUUGGAGAGCUUGGAUUUGGGCGAUUUUGGAGGAGAUUUUCACCACAUAGAUUAAGGUAAGUAUUUUUGACUCAGUUUUGAUUAUAUUCCAUGAUUCCAUCUUUGAUUCUGACAUUUUGAUUAUAAAUUUAAAAGAGUAAUGGGGGGGAGGGGUUGUCUAAUCAUUCCUAAAGUAAAUUAUUGAGUUCUGAACAUCGAUUCGGAGUCGGAUUUAAGUAAAAUUAGUAUGGUUGGACUCGUAUUCGAACGGGUUGUCAAAAUUUGUGAGUUUUGUCGGGUUCAAAGGUGCGUGCUCGGGUUGACGUUUUGGUUGACUUUGAGUAUUGGAUUAAAGAUUUGACCUUUAUCGCUCGGGUUUGUUUCCUUUGGCAUUAUUUGAUGAUUUGAGUUGCUUUUGGCUAGUUUCGAGCCGUUCGGAGGUCGAUUCGUGCGGGAUGUUGUUUCUAGAGUAUUGUUUGGCUUGCUCGGUAUUUGAUUUGGCUUGCUUGAGGUAAGUAUCUUACCUUAACUUGGUUGAGGCACUAGUUGCCAAGGUUAUUUGUAAUAGCUACGUGAUAUGGGUGCUCAUAUAUGUGAGGUUUGAGCCCAUGUGCAAACACCGGGGUAUUUAUCCAUGCUCGGGGUAGUGCUUAAGCCAUGACAUGCCUUGAAUUGAUUUUCUAAGCCCUAUGUUGUGAUGUUUCUCAUAUUUGUAACCCUGUUGUAAACUAUUUUAUCCAUGUUAGAGGUUAUAUAGAGGCCAAUCCCCUUAAUGAACUUGAUAAUUUCAAUUUCCAUGAUGCAGCUGCCGAUAUGAGCUAUGAUAGCAUACUUUGGCACAUGCAUACACCUUAGCAUAUUAUUUAUACCAGUCCCGGGGCAUAAAAUCUUAUAUUCAUUGAUCAUAUACAUGCAUUCUUGUAUAUUUACUUCUGUGUGAUAUGAUUUGGACUGGAUGCAUGUGACCACGCCGAGCGGAUUGUGUUGUUAUGCCAGUGAACAUAUCGGGAGGAUUGUGUUGUUAUGCAUGUGACCACGCCGAACGGGUUGUGAUAUAUCCUGUGACAAUACCAGGCGGAUUAUAAUAUUGAGCAUGUGACCAUGCCAGGUGGAUUAUGAUAUUGAGACUGCGACCAUGCCGGACUGAUAUCACGUUGAAUUGGUCAUGCUACGUGUGGAUACGGAUCCAUCUCCCUAGGGUCAUCCUCUCAUGUGCCUUCUUGAUGGUGUACACGCGGGUUGUGAGAAACCUACACGUUUUUGGUUGAUGUGAGCUCUAGGAGAGCUGGUUACUGGUUUGGUUUGAUUACUCAGGGUCAGAGAGCCGUAAUGUGAUUUCUAUUUGGAUCGGGUUGUGCGCCGCAAUGAAUUGAUAUUUGAUUAUUGCAUUUCUUCUUUAAUUGCAAUAUUCCUUGGAUGUUUAUCUGAUUUAUUUGCAUAUCUUCCCUUUAUGCUGGAUUAUUGACUGAGCAGAGUAUGUUAAGGAUAUUUUGUGCUCCAAUGUGGUCUUAUCUGAAAUUUCAUGAUUCGUUCAUAUUACUGUGAUGUACUUGUUGGAAAUUAUAAACCGUUCAGGUAAUUGACGAGUAUCAUUUAUAAUUAUUGCUUCUAUUAACUCGCCGAUGUUAGUUAUGAUACUUAUUUAGUACAUGGGGUCGGUUGUACUCCUACUAUACUUCUGCACAUUGCGUGUAGAUCUUGGAGCUGAUGUUGUUGUACAUGGCGGGAGUUGGCAUUGAAGAUGAACCUGUUUUCCGGAUAUUGCUGCCACUUGUCCUUGGUAGCUUUAGACUUAUAAUCUAUUUAUGCACAUUCCAAAUAGAGGUUGAAUUUAUUCCAGCUUUCUAAAUCUACAUCUUAGUGGCUCAUGACUUAUACUUCCAAUCAUUGGGUUAUUGUAUAAAGAUUCAGUUAUUUCAUUUAUUGAUUCAUAUUAUCCUCAUUUGAUUUGUGUUUAAUGUUAUUUGUCUUACCUAGUGAGUUGGGUUAGGUACCAUCACGACUAGUUGGAAUUUGAGUCGUGACAAGUUGUUAUCUGUAACACCCCAAAAACUUUCCAAGUAUUUAAGUGCAAAGCCCGGUAAAAUUUCGCAAAUGAAUUCAAGGUUUCGUGGUGCCGGAGUAGGCUUACGUGUGAGGAUUGAACAAUGCACUGAGGACUAAAGGAAAAUUUUUGGCAGAGAAAUGCAUUUCUGCGGUCCAUUAUGUGAUCGCAGAAUCACUCUGCGAGCCGCAUAAUGGCCGUAGAGUGAGGCAGGUAUGGGCAAGUUUGGAUGCCAUUCUACGAUCGACUAUGCGACCGCAGAACAGGUCUGCGGGCCGCAUAGUGACCGCAAACCCAGGCAGAUAUUUUCCCAGUUCUUGAGGCCAAUUGUACGGUCGAUCUCGAAUUUUAUCUAGAAUUGGGUAAUUUGUAAGAUAAUGUUUAGGCAUGGGAGUUGGUUAUUUUGCAUGCAUGUGUUAUCAAGGAGUGUAGGAAAAUUGUUGAGCUAAAAAUGGUAAAGAAUGGGUCGUGGGAUGAUGGAAUCCUCCAUAAAAGGGACCUUAAAACCUUAAUGCACACCUAGUAUUUGAUAAAAUGCUAAAAUGAGCUAGAACCAUGAUCAUCUUCCUAAUUUUUGUUCAAUUUAUUAUAUUUCUAAAAUAGAUCGAAGUUGCUACGAAUUUUGGAAUAUUUUAGAGUUUAAGGAAGCUCCAUUGAGGUAUGUUGGCUAAACUUUCUCUCUUAGAAUCGAAUUCCAUAAUGUUCUCGUAAGUUCAAGUAUGGUUGGCUCAAGAUUUCUAACUUCUAUAUUUCGGGUUAUCUUCUAUAAACUUGACUAUUCCGAAUGAGCCUUAUAUCGAAAGAUAUAUGUUCAAAGUAUGGUUUGCGUAUUAAAAUGUUAUGACUUUGAGUCGUGUUUUAAAUGAAAACUAGUAUACCAACUGGGUGAGAAAAACUCGAUGUGCUUAAGACUCUAAAUUGCCCAUAUGUGUACGUAAAGUAUUGAUUGGAAAUAUCUUGUUGUUGAUAAUCUAUAAAGAUGCUUGAAACUGAAAUAAGUGAAUUGGGGAUAUAGAGUGUGGCCAACGUGCCAAGAAUUUAAAUUAUGAUUGUGGCUUAGUAGUGCAAAUGAAAUAAGAGGAUGCGAUAAAGAAUAUGAAAUGAGCCUCGACUCAAUUGUUUAAAAAUAUUUUCAAAAAUAGAAUUGUCUAAAAGAUUUUGUACUCAAUUCAUGCCCAUAAGUGGUUGCUUCAACUAAUGCUUUGCUUUAUAAAUAUAUCCAGUGUGAUUCGAGUUCUUACAUACUCAGGUGUUGAAAUUGUACACUGUCAUUUCUGGGGAAGAGUAUUGUAAGAAUAAAUUGUGUAUUGAUUGUUUAUGAUUUUGAUGUGUGUUUCUAUUGCUGGUUUGUAUGCCCCAUUCUUUGGGAAGAAACCUUUUGUGUUUAAAGUUCUCAUUACAAAUGGAUUUAAAGUAUAUGAUUUCUGAAAUAUCAUGUAUGUUGAUAUUUGAUGGUGGUCCUUGAAAAUAAAUGAUGUGAAAGUGUGGAACAAGAAAUACGGCCACCGUGCCAGGAAUAAAGAAUCUUGUAAAUGGCCAAAUGAGCCAAGGAAAUAUUGUUGUUGUGAGUGACUGGAAUACUAAUGAGAAUUUAUAAAAUGUGAAAGAGGUUGAGGUGAGUACAAUUGUAUUUAUGUUACCUUUGUGUGCAAAUCAAAUAAUAAAAAUAUUUUUGGGAGAAUCAUUAGCAAAAUCGAGGAAGAGUGGGUCAUAAGGCCCACACCUGAAACUACAUGUGCCGGUGUAGGGGUGGAUUGUGAUUAUUCCCCUUAUUUGGGAUGAAAUUGAAAUAUUGGAGAAAUUGUGAUAUUAUUCCCCUUAAUUGGGAUAAAACUGGUAACAAUUGUGGAUUGGAAAAGUCAACCCACACGGCAUAUGUGGGAAGGCGGGCUAGCUGAUCGGGUAGAGAUCGGACGCCAUGUUGCGCACAUGGUGGUACUACUCUUGAUAACAACUUUCUUUCGCAUCACUUGUCAAACCACAUUGUUCGUGGGGAGAUGGCCUAGACGAUCGGGAGUGAUCGGACUCCGUCUUAACAAAGAGAGUGGUAUAUCGGUGCUAAUGAUCUCCCAACCAAAAUUGUAUAUGAAGUUCAUAUUUUGCAAAUUAUUAUGUUUUAACUGGACAUUUGGAUAUUGUUGAUUGUGACUUGCUAUUUCUAUGUGUUGCAUUUUCUUAUAUGGGCAUUCUAUUUUGAAAGAGGACUUUUAGCUAUACAUACUAGUGUUAUUCGACAGUACUAAUGUCCCUUUUGCCGGGGGCGCUGCAUCUUUAAUAGAUGCAGGUGGUUCUACAGCAGGCGGCAUUGAUCAGUGAUAGCCGUACACUCUUUUCAGCUGAUUUGGUGAGCCCCACUUUAUUUCGAGGUCAUGUAUCUUUUGUUUCUCAUACACUGUGUCUUGAGGUAUAGCCGGAUCCUUGUUGCCGGCAUUUCCAUAUUACUCUUCUAUUGUACUUAGAGGCUCCAUAGAUAGGUUGUGGGUUGUUGUGGAUGUUGGGAAUUGAACUAGAAAUGUUGGUAUUUAGAAAUCAUAUUUUUCAUUAAUUCUAUAAACUCGUAAUAUUUUGGAAAUUACGAAUGAAGCUGCUAAUGGGAAUGAAAAGGAAGUUGUUAAUAAAAUCUUUCCAGUGUUUGAUUAAUGGAGUACAUCUCCUCUUAUUUCAUGAAUGAGUUUGGGUAGAAGGAAUAUCUGACAGGCUUGCUCAGCCGGGUUACUCGGUUGAGCGCCGGUCGCGCUCCCUGAGUUUUGGGUGUGACAGUAUCAGAGCUCUAGAUUCAUAGGUUCUACGAGUCAUGAGCAAGUAUGCAAUAGAGUCUUGCGGACCGGUAUGAUGACGUCCAUACCUAUCUUCGAGAGGCUACAUGGCAUGUAGAAAAAUUUUGCAUCUUUCUUUCAUUAUCGUGCGGCAUUGAUUCAGCUUGAAGCGUAUCUCUUUGAAUUCCUUCCACUCACUUGUAUGUUAUGUUGAGCACUCAGUGUCGGUUGUGCGUUGUCGGCUAGUGAUGUCAUGGAUGAGGUGCGAGAUGUGUUUCAUACGUUUUGGUGAUGGGCUAGUCUGGAAGACUUGAGGUCGUGGUUCGGACCGCAACUUGGGCUCGGUGGUUUCAACUGGGUGAGUAUGUGCGUAUGGAAUUUUAUGUCCAGUAGGGUCCCUAAGAGUGGUAUUGCUGGCUGAGUGAGUUGUUGGGUAGCUAUAUGGUGAGUAUUAUAUGACUGAGGUAUGUGCUUAGACGGUUUAGAUGUCAUGCGAAGAGUUUGCUUGGUAUGUGAAAGGACUAUGGAUGCGCGAUUUCUGUGUCGAUGUGUUGUACAGUCUGGAGUUUUAAGUGUUUUGAGGGAUCCUUCAUGUUGAUCAUUUGUGGAAUGAGGUAGGUUCUUAUGUCUUGUUGAUGAGUUCAGACAAGGGAAGAUUCAGUGAUUGCAUAGUGGUUGUGUCCAUGAAAGGGAAUAGAGAAAUGCUAGUUUGAGGUUAAGUAGGGGGUUAUCUCUUGCUGGAUAUCCUGAGGUUGUGUGAUGCCUAUGAUGUUUUAUGGAGAGUUUUUUCUACAGGUGGGUUGUAUAUGUUGCAAUAUGAGUUUGGACCACUUGAGAAUGUUGGCUUGAUUGUCUUAAGGAUGAAUGUGAGUUUGGCAGAUGAUUUGAGGUACUUUAUGACUAGUGCUACAUGAAAUUAUGAGGGAUUUAAUUGAAUUACAGUGCGGGAUAAUGGCAGUUAUGAAGUAAAGGUAUUGUGGGUUAUUGAAUGAUAUUUUCUAUGGCUUUGAGCCAAGUGGGGGAGUCUGCUAUUGACGAUCAGGCUGCAUGGUUAUGUGCUACAUUAGUUUCGGUCUGAGGUAUGUUUGUGGAUCAAUUAUGACUUGGAGAGGUUGGUUUCGAGGAUGACUUGAGCAAGGAAUUCUAGAUGCAUGAUGUAUUACACUUUAUGGAUAUAUGGAAAUUUUGGAAUGAUUCGGGUUUAUGAUUCGUGAUGGAUGUAAUGUGCUAAGAAAGGGGAGUCACUCAGUUGCGCUUAGGUGGGGUUACUUCUUUGGGUGUUGGUGUGCUAAUUGGGGACAUGUCGUUCGGCUCAUUUUGGCGGUGCAUUUGAGAGUUGGAUAGAGUGGAUGACUCUCGAGAAAGUUCUAAUUGGUUCAAGAUUCAUAUGUGGUAUUUGAGGAAUCUCUGAAUUUGUUAAUGGCUAAGAUGUGAGAUUUGCAUUGGAUGGUGUCGGGACUCGCGGUGUUUCUGUAUCAUUAAGAAUUCUACAUUUUAGUAUCAUAAAGGUUAAGGGAAACAACUUUAGAUUCAUAUAAAGUCUCUUCAUAGUGGGUAUCUCGGUUGCGGUACUUUUGGGUGCUUAAGAGGGAAUACAGUGGCUUAUGGGCUUUAGGGCGACAUGAUUUCAUGCAAGGAUCUCUUUUGGUGAGUAUUAGGUUAAGGAUCGUAGUGUACUAGCAAGGAAAAAUGUUAACAUGAAGGCAAGUCGAGAGGAACUCGAAGGAAUAAGCCAGCUUAGUAGUGGUUUAGAUCGGCAUGGUAAUAGAAAUAAGCGGUUCUUUUGGUUCUCUUGGUGUGGCGAGGCUUUACAGGUGUUUUGUGACGAUACUCUUGGGUUUGGCGACCUGUGUGACUUGGUUAAGAUAGAGGGAUUUAGUAUUGAUGGCUUGGUCUUGUGCUAAUGGGUUUCAAAGAGUUCUCGAUGAUUUCUACCACUCAUUGGGACGAAUGUCUUCUACCGGCAUGAGGAGUAUAUUGUGUGUUGUGAUUCGCUCGUGGAUGGGGUCAAGUAGAAGGUUUCUAGAGGAUGGAAUGUGUGUUCUGCUUGUGAUUCGAGGUUAAUAAUAGAGUUUUCGUGUUUUUAUAUGAUGGCAUGAUAAAUACGGCGCAACAUGUGGAAUUAAGGUUUGCAUGUAAGAGGUUUUGGUUCUGUUCAAAGGGAAGGUCAUGAGUUCUAGACAGCAUGGACGGGUUUAGAUGUUUAGAAGAAUACUGGCACUAUUUGGUAUCACCUUGGAGGGUGCAUAUUUCAGAAGGCGCAUUGCAUUUUGUCUUGCGGAUGCUUGACUGUAUUACAGUAAUUACCUGGUUCUUGACUGCUGAUGUUCAAAUUUUACUAUGUGGUACGAAAGAAUAAAGUAGUUCUCGUGAGAUGAUUGUGCUCGAGAGAUGUGUCAGUUAUUGGGUGGUCGAGUCAGGAUCGGAUAUGAAGAUUUUUGUAUUCUCGUGAUUUGGAGACUAGAUGUCGCAGAGGUGGACUAUUUCUUGGUUGUGAACUAUGAAGGUAUGGCCAGAGUUAGAUAGCUGAUGGUAUGUGUUAUGGAUGGGUUUCAGUGGAUCUUUGGGAAGGUUAUCUACUCAUUUCGGAAGGAUCAAAAUCGAUUUGGAGGCCACCGGUAGGCCUAAUGAGGAUGUGUAUGUUACACCAGAUCAGAAUUUGGGUACUCAGUACAACGACCGUUGAGGGGUCUGUCAUUCGAUUAGAGUUGAUCUUAUUCAUUUUCUGAUAUUUUCAUGUGUUUCUCUUCUAUGCUACGAUGGGUUAUGAGAUUGUUGACUAUUUACACAUAUGAUGCGGUUCUAUUCGGGCCUUGUGGAGGAAUUCAAGCGAGAUGUCUCUUAGAGUGUUGAAUGGUUGAUUGCACCUUGGUUAUGGUCUUCCGGUUUGUGGUAUAUUUUGCUAUCCAUUUCUCCAUGGUUGUGAUCAUGCAUUUCGCGUAUUUGUUGUUGAUAUGCAUAUGGUUGUUGAUUGUCAGCAUCAUGGCUCAAGGUAUUCCAUGUGGACUGGUGUUUGGAUUGGGUCACGCAUCGUGAUGGAGUUAUGCUAGGAUAUGAUCCUUUGUACUUACUUCACGUGUUUUGUUCUCCUUGUGUGGUGGGUUCAUAUCAUUGCGCCUUGCGGUGGUAUUUGUUGAGCUUGCUGGACGGUUCUCUCAUUUGAUUCUCUUUCCCCUUAUUGGGUAUAUUUGACUUGUUGCUUGUUUGGUGCACAAAUUGUUGGGUAUGUGGCUCGAGGUGGUGCUAGUGUGGUGUGUUGGUCGAGCAGCUUGUACUAGAUGAGAUGAGGUUAUUGGGCCUGGAAUGAGUGCUAUCGGACUUGAUUAAAGUAUGUUUGGAAGAAUAAUGUCACUAGUCAGAUUAGAAUUUGACUUUUGUUCUUGUAGGGAGACAGAGAGCCCCACGACUUGUUGAUAUGAUGAGUGGUUAUGAGUUACUACAUAUUUCUUUCAUCAUUGGCAGUGUACGAAGGUUUUUGACAAGGUUUUAUUUGAUAUGAGGUUUGUUACCGGUGUCGGAUUUGUUAUUAGGCAGAUAUUAUAGUCGAAAGUAAUUGCUAUGAGUAUCCGAGUUAUGUGGUAUAUCAUGUGAUUAUAUCAUGGGUUGUGGUGAUGGCUUGAUACAACUUGUUCAGAUUUAUACAGUGUACAGAUACGAGAAUCGGAUAUUAUAAGGAGUUCCGGAGCUUGGGGAUUUGGGUUUUAAGGUUUAUGGACUAUGGUUGAAGUGAGGAUUUUCAGUUAGGUUGUAUUGUCAGGAUUAUAUGAAUUGUGGUGACGUGGUAUCACCCAUGGGUAGGUGCAUGAUGAGUUUAUUCAGUGACUUGAUAGCUUUGGAACGACUCUUGGCACGUUCGAGGACGAACAUAUAUUUUAAGUGGGGGAGAAUGUAACGACCCGACCGGUCGUUUCGAGCAUUUGCAUUCAGCUUAGCGGUUUGAGGUCAUGAGUAGCUUCAUAUGGUAUAUUAUGAUUUGCGUGUAUGGACGGUUUUGGUUUUCGAGUUGUUCGGAAUUGAUUUGGAAGAAUGAUUCUUAAAUAGGAAACUUUAAUUUGGAAGAGUCGAUCAAGUUUGACUUUUGUGUAUUUGACCUCGGAUCGGAGUUUUUAUGAUUUUGUUAGGUCCAGAUGGUAAUUUUGGACUUGGUCAUAUGCCCAGAAUUGCAUUUGAAUGUUUCUACACGGUGUUGGCACUAUUUGGCGAAAGUUGGCAAUUUGAAGGUUUGGAAUGUUCAUAAGUUUGAUCGAGAGUUGACUUUGAUGAUAUCUAGUUCGGAUUGUUAUUCCGAGAGUUGAAAUAGGUUUGUUAUGUCAUUUGGAACUUGUGUGCCAAGUUUGAGGUUAUUCCAAGUUGAUUUGAUAUGGUUCGACACGAGUUUUGGAAGUUGAAAGUUUAAAAUUUCAUUAAGUUUGAUUUGAGAUACGAUUCGUGGUUUUAAUGUUAUUAUGUGUGAUUUGAGGCCUCGAGUAGGUUCGUGUUGUGUUUUGGGACUUGUUGGUAUGUUCGUACGGGGUCCCGGGGGCCUCGGGUGUGUUUCAGAUUCAUUUCGGAUUCAUUUUGGGCUAUGUUGCCUUGCUGGAGAAUUUGCAUGUUCUGGUGUUUCCGCAUCUGCGGAGGGUUGGCCGUAGAUGUAAGACCUCCGAUGGGGGAUCAUGGUCGCAGAAGAGAAGAAGGCUGGAGGAUGGGAUAUCCGCAUAUGCAGAAUGUUAGGCGCAUCUGCGUGACCACAAAAGCGAUGGUUUGGGCGCAGAAGCAAGAAGCUGGUUAUGGGCUAAGCGCAGAAGCAGGAUGUGUCACGCACCUGCGAUGUCGCAGAAGCGAAAGCGUUUUGGAAAGUGUGUGAGGUCAGGGCUUCAGUGUUAUCCGCAAAAGUGGAGUUUUUAUCGCAAAGCGAUGCCGCAGAAGCGACUGUUGGACCGCACAUGCGACGGUGCCUGGGCAGGUUCUAUAUAUUCGAGGGUUGAGUUAUUUUAUUCACAUUUUGAGUUGGAGAGCUUGGAUUUGGGCGAUUUUGGAGGGAAUUUUCACCACAUGGAUUGGGGUAAGUAUUGUUUUACUCGGUUUUGAUUAUAUUCCAUGAUUCCAUAUUCGAUUUUGGCAUUUUGAUUAUGAAUUUAGAAGAGAAAUUAGGGGGGGUUUGUCUAAACUUUCGUAAAGUGAAUUAUUGAGUUCUAAACAUCGAUUUGGAGUCGGAUUUGAGUAAAAUUAGAAUGGUUGGACUCGUAUUCGAAUGGGUUAUCAGAAUUUGUGAGUUUUGUCGUGUUCCGCGGUACGGGAUCGGGUUGACUUUUUGGUUGACUUGGAGUAUUUGGUUAAAGAUUCGACCUUUAUCAUUUGUGUUUGCUUCCUUUGGCAUUAUUUGAUGAUUUGAGUUGCUUUUGGUUGGUUUCGUGCCGUUCGGGGGUCGGUUAGCGCGGGAUAGCGUUUCUAGAGUAUUGUUUGGCUUGCUCGAUAUUUGGUUUGAAUUGCUUGAGAUAAGUAUCUUUCCUAAACUUGGUUGAGGCACUAGUUACCUGAGUUAUUUGUGAUAGCUACGUGCUAUGGGUGCGCAUAUAUGUGGGGUUUGAGCCCAUGUGAGAGCACCGGGGUAUUUAUCCAUUCUUAGGCUAUGACAUGCUUUUAAUUGAUUUGCUAAGCCUUAUAUUGUGAUGUUUCUCAUAGUUGUAACCAUGUUGUGAACUAUUUGAACCAUGUUAGAGGUUAUAUUGAGGUUAAUCCCCUGAAUAAACUUGAUAAUUUCUAUUUCCGUGAUGAAAUUGUCGAUUUGAGCUAUGAUAGCAUACUUUACACAUGCAUACACCUUAACAUGUUAUUUAUACUCGUCCAGGAGCAUGAAAUCUUAUAUUCAUUGAUCAUAUACAUGUAUUCUUGUAUAUUUUCUUAUGUGUGAUACGAUUUGGACUGGAUGCAUGUGACCACGCCGUGCGGAUUGUGUUGUUAUGCAUGCGACCAUGCCUAGCGAAUUGUGUUAUUAUGCAUGUGACCAUGUCGAGCGGGUUGUGUUGUUAUGCCCGUGACCACGCCAGGAGGAUUGUGUUGUUAUGCAUGUGACCACGCCGGACAGAUUGUGUUGUUAUGUCUGUGAUCACGCCGGGUUGAUUGUGUUGUUUCCUGUGACUACGCCGGGCGGAUUGUGAUAUUGAGCCUGUGACCACACCGGGCGGAUUAUGAUAUUGAGCAUGUGACCACGUCGGGCUGAUAGCACGUUGAAUUGGUCGUGCUACAUGUGGAUACGGAUCCAUCACCCAAGGUCACCCUCUCAUGUGCCUUCUUAAUGGUGUACCCGCGGAUUGUGAGAAAUUGACAAUUUUUCUGGUUGAUGUGAGCUCUGGGAAAGCUGGUUACUGUUUUGGUUUGAUUACUGAGAUUCUGAUGUGGGCCAAAGAGCUGUAAUGUGAUUUCUAUUUGGAUCGAGUUACGCGUCAUAAGGGAUUGAUAUUUAAUUAUUGUAUUUCUUCUUUAAUUGCUAUAUUCCUUGGAUGUUUAUCUUAUUUAUUUGCAUAUCUUCCCUAUAUGUUGGAUUGUUGGAUUGUUGACUGAGUAGAGUGCAUUAAGGAUAUUUUGAUCUUCAAGGUGGUCUUAUCUAAAAUUUCAUGAUUCGUUCAUAUUAAUGUGUUGUACAUGUUGGAAAUUAUGAACCGUACAGGUGAUUGGCGAGUAUCAUUUAUAAUUCUUGUUUCUAUUACCUCGCCGAGGUUAAUUAUGAUACUUAUUGAAUACAUGGGGUCGGUUGUACUCAUACUACACUUCUGCACCUUACCUGCAGAUCUUGGAGCUGAUUUGUUGUGCAUGGCGGGAGUUGGCAUUGAAGAUAUACCUGUUUUCCUGUCACGACAAAAAAUCCCAUCAUGAGUAUCGUGAUGGCACCUAGUCCCGAGGACUAGGUAAAUCUAACACAUGCUGAGUUAUUAACAUAUUUAAAUCAUUUAAUCAUUAAACGUAAAUCGGUAACUGACAUACAUAGCUAAGUCGCAAAAACUCAAAUGGGUUCUGCUAAGAUUAUGUAUUAGGAGGAAUGGAUUUCAUACUUUAGAAGAAUAAAUGUCAUAAAAAACAAUUAACUUGGGAAGGUUAGCACAUGUUGCUAAUAUAACAUAUUGCUUUAACAUUCCAAAUACCUAUUGUUGUCCUAAAGAAUUAAAGAGAACACAUUUGUUUCUUUAAAUCUGUACGAGGCCAAAAGAUGAAAAGAAAAUAUCAAAUUUCCGCUAAUUUACAUGAUAAAAUCUGCAAUAGAGAAAGCAGUUUCAAUUCCAUAAAUCACAAUUUAGAAGGUUAUAAAUAAUGAGAAGGAUGAACCAUGCAACACGAUUACAAUCUUAGACCUACCACAUUAUAGGGGUUGAGAAUCCGAGAGGGGUAAUCUUUAAAGACAGAGAGAAAAAUCAACCAUGCAACACGAUUACAAUUCAAAUAUCAAACGAAGAAGCAAAUAUUGAAAGAUAGAUUAGCAAUCAAACAGAUAAUCAACAAAAGGGGAACAAAAAAAAGAAAAAUAAAUGAAGAAUAAAAUGACCUCAUUUGAAAGUGGUCAACUGGCUCUUCGUGAUCUCUUUUUUCACAUUUAUCUUCGACGUCAAAUUUCACAUUUCUCAAGUUCACAAUAGCGUAUGUGCAAACAGCUUUUGGAGUUUCUUAACCGAGAGAGAGAAAGGUGGAGAGUUAAAAUGGUGAGACAGAUUUGAUGUAGAAGAAAGAGAAAGAUUUACAAAAUAGUCUCAAACUUGCCUUAAUUUCUGGAAACUUACGGAUCAACUACAGUAAUAACAACAAAGCCAGGAGAAAAUGCACAUGAAUAAUAGCGAAAUGGCUUGGUUUAUUUGGUCUGGCAAGAUGAUGUUAAAUCUUUUCAGGCGUCAAGUACAACCGUUUGAAGCUACACAUCAUAUGUUAUUACCAGUUUACCCUUGGUCGUACUCUACUUCCUUAGCUUCAUAUCACCUAAAAAUUUCUAUGGUAUAAACAAAAUUAGAUAAUUGAGCUUACCCGUAGUGUUAACUGUUAAGUGCUCAAUCCUCAAUGGACCAAAUAAAAAAUGCAUACCUGCAAAGUCCAAUAAUAAUGAACCUUCAAAAGAUGAAUUAUAGAAACACACGAAUCCAGAAAUUAUAGAAAAAUCAGCGGAAGUUCAGUGCAAUUCAAAUAAAUUCACAGACAGAAAAUAAAAUAUCACCUCCACAUUAUUCCAAAAUAAGCAAAAGAAAAUUCAAACUUCUCACAUGCCGCAACAUUAGACAACUGUUUGUAGAGUUCACAUGCCGUAACAUGCAGUGAAAGAAUUAGAUUUAUUUUCCUGUACAGCAAAGAUAGCACAGAACACAUAGAACGCAGAGCCAAAGAACAAUAUGACGGCAGAGACUAAAUCUGAAAUGUCUAAAUCACUUAAACUGACAUCCAUUAACAUUACAGAGAGGAUUAAGGCUCAUAGUUUACUGCAUUUGAAGAAGAUGACCACGCAAUUACAGAUCGAAACCUUGAAAUUUCUAGAAAAAAAUUAAAAAGGAAGAAAAUCAAUUACCUCUAACCACAUGCAUCAAAAUCUUAGAAGUUGUGAAAAAUUCCCUCCGUAUGAUCUUAGAGAAAAAAGCACCAAAAUCCAAAACCAACAGGAAAAAUUAAACCGAAGCUCACCUGCAACAGGUAAAUCCAAUCGGAACAUGAGAACAAAAACAAUGCCCGCUUAAGAAAAAGGUGAGAGCGAGAUAAAAAUUGAAAUUUAAUGACCAAAAAAAAGGCGAACUUCGAGUUGCAGAGAAUGAAAAAGAAAUAGAGUGACGAAUAAGAAAUAUGGCAAAAUCAGCUGAGGCUUGUGAAACUCAGUGGGACCCUAGUAGACUGUAGUGGAAUCCAGCUAUAUCCAACAAAAUGUUCCAUCACGUGUCACCUAGAAAGAAG